RNAcentral lists this long non-coding RNA (6147 nucleotides) under Coffea arabica (coffee). RNAcentral describes it as "long non-coding RNA (CARA_LNC006768)". The record is from RNAcentral. Lineage: Eukaryota; Viridiplantae; Streptophyta; Magnoliopsida; Gentianales; Rubiaceae.
GGAGGUCAUGGCUGCAAGUGUGGUGCAAACUGCAAAUGUGACCCUUGUACCUGUUGAAGACAAAGCUGGUACAACACCCCAAAAGCAGCUUUCUCUUCACUUGUUAUAGAAAAAAUCACUGGGGGGAAGAAUUAAGAAGUACUUUUGAUUUGGUUUCAUGCUUGUAAUAUAUAAUAAGAUGGUCAUGGCUUCUGCAAAUCUAUGUACUAGAUUUGUUAGCUAAUUAUGUCUUAUGUUCUCUUGUGUUGUCCUUUGUGAGUUGCAACCAUCCUUGCUUGUAUCAGUUCACUGAUAUGCAAUGCUUAUUGAAGAAAGAAAUGUAUGUUGUCAUGUAUCUCCAAUUGGUGGUCAAAUCUUCACAACAAUUGUUCCUGCACACCAAACAUUUACAACUAGUCAACAAAAUAUAAAACCUUACAAAACUUGCACAUUUAUUUAUAGGUUGUGCUGGUGCUACAACAACGUUAUUUAGAAAAAAAAAAAAGAAGAAGAAAUAAGAUCUUCAAUCCAUCAAAUGAGUCGGAUACACAGCACAUGAUUGAAUUGGAAAAAAAAUCAUAAUUUCAUUAUAUAUAUAUAUAUGUAUGUGUGUGUGCGUGUAUGUAUGUAUAUAUAUAUAUAUAUAUAUAUAUAUAUAUAUAUAUGUGCGCGCGCGCGCGCACCAGAGGAGAAGGGUUCAUAAGGGCUAGGAGAAGUUCCAAUGUUGUUGCUAACAAGAAGGGCAACUUUCAUGAUUAAAUGAAUACUUCCCGUGCAAAAGUAUAUAUCUCACGAUAGAAGUCCAAUUUGAAACUUCAGCAAAAUUUUUUACUGUUCCUCAAACAUCAAACAUAAAAAAUUUGAGACCAACUGUGCAAAAGAGAAUACAAGUGUAUGGAGAUAUUAGUGGUUUGAAUAAAUUAAAUAAAAAUAAAAUAGAAGAAAAACAAAUAUAAUUAGAAUUUUUAUUAUCCAUUUAAUACAAUUUUAUUCUAAUUUACAUCCCAUUUCUUCCUACAGCUCUUAAUAUUGCUAUUUAAAAUUUAGAAAAAUAUAAUGAUUUAAAAUCAAAAUAGCAGAGAUUAAAAGUGUGAAUUCAAAUUUGUUGAUACCAUUAGUCAUCCUUGAAUUUGCAUUAAUUAUCAUGAAUAUGCCUAAAAUCAAAAUCUUUAGGAACCAAUUUGCUUUAGACGAAACAUUGGGACCCAAUUAAUAUAUUGGUCAAAUAUUGAACACAAAUUUACCAUACACUGGAUGCAAGUUAGUGUCCACGCGGUCUUUCGAACAACAGAUCAUAUGCACACCCGUAAUUGCCAUGGAUAUUAUUUAGUAACUUAUCCCAAUUGUUGGCCAAAAUUCAGGUUCACUUUUGAAGAGCGUAAAUUUGUCAUACCGACCAAAAUCUGAUCUACCUUUUAGGCAUCAUAAACCCUCAACUUAAAAUUUACCGUUGGAUGAUAAAAGAGUGUUAACCUUUAAAUUGCGACAAUUUAGGCCUUGUUUGGAUUGCCGGUUUCCGUCGAAAAAUUACGUCGUUUUCUGUGAUCACAUUUCCCUAUUACCUUUUUCCCUCACAUACAUCAAAUCGCUACAGUAAUUUUUCCAUGAAAAAUCACGGAAAAUGCAAUCCAAACACAACCUUAAUAAUGUAAAAUGUAAAUUACUACUAUUGUCAAUGAUGUGGCAAUCAGUGACUGAAUAUAAAAAAGAGAAAAUUAUUUCUAAAGGGACUAUAUUGGUACUAAAUAAAGAUGAGGGAAUAAAGAUGACCAUAAAAUUUUCUUCUCUUGUCUGCGGCUGCAACUAUUUAAUCUAUUUUUACUUCUAUUCUUUGGAAGGGAAAGUCUACAUAGACCCCUGUAUGGGGGUUGGGGGAUGAACCACCAAAUUAGAUAAGUGCAUUAUUGCACUUUUCUGUAUCCCGAUGCACAUGAGAGUUUUUGAAAGAGCUCUUUUCUGACCAUUGGAUUAAGGGCCAAUGGUUACUGUAAACUUUUCUUAAAAUAAGUGAUGUGCCAUUACCAGUUGCUCCGUAAUUGGUGGAGUCUAUGCUCAAUUCUUGACGUUUAUUGCCAAAAGAACUCUGCUUUAAAUUAUAUAUCCAAAAUAAUUUAAUUUUAAAAUUUAUUACCUUUAUCAUCUUUUUUUUGCCACAUAGGUUACACAUAUACUGGGAUAGAGAUAAAGGCAUGCUUCAUUUCUUUUUCUUAUAUAAUAUCUUCCUCAAUUCUCUCUCUAAAUCUUUCUGCAUUUUUUUUCUUUCAUUAUCUUUUUCUUGACAAACAUAAUUCUGAAAAGCCAAUAUUUAUAUUAACAAUAUCGAAAACUUCAUUAUAUUCUUGAUAUUGUUUUGCUGGUUGAAAAUAUUCUUCUUGAAUUGAUAAUCGCAAGAUAAAUCAAUCUGCUUGUGCCUCUAUAAUAAAAAAAUUAAAAUUUUUAAUUCAUGUUAGAAAUUAUAGACUAGAUUAAAGAUUUCCCUUUUUGUUAUCCUACAUAACAAUGAGGAUAACAAGAUGGCAAUAAUAACAUCAUUAUGGGAAUAAAAUUUGAAAGCUAAUCACAUUGAGAAUAUCUUUUAGAAAGAGUGUUAUUUUGGCAAAAAAAACCCUGUUUUCCACAAUGGGAGUGCAAUAAAGGGUAUUACACCCAAAAAUUAUAUCCCCUUAUAGUAGGAGUGUAAUAGUCAUGAUGCGUAUCAUAAUCAUUAAACGCAUAAUAGACAUGCAAGGCAACAACAAAUUGGUUGCACGUCCCAUUUGAUAAUUUUAAAAGCUUUAAAUUUUAUGGGAUAUGUAUAGUAAAUUAUUCAAAUAAAUAUGUGAUUUGAUUGUGAAUUUAUAUUAUUAUAUUAUGUACAGUAUAAUUUAUAGUGAAAGAUAGUGUAAUGAAAGAGAGAAUAUUAUAGUGAUGAUGUGGCGUAUGAGUGUGAGCCAUGAAUAUAAUCCAUUGUGGAUGCAAAUAUAAUUUCUUCCCAAUAAGCAGAAUCAGCUGCCUUAGACUUGAUUUAGACAUAAAUGUAAUCUCUUGUCAAUAAUUUUUGUCCAUUUUAGCUGAUGUGUUUGAAUUUUUCUAUCAAUUAAAAUCAAGUUGCUUUGCCGGUUACGGAAAAAAUCUUGGAAGCAACAACUUGAAAGGGAUUCUCGUGUCUUAUACAAUUUUGUGGAGCAGUAGCCAGUAGGCACUCUUUGACAAUUUCAAAGGGAUGAUCACGCUAUACGUUUGGUCGGACAUUAAAUAAGUGGUGAUUGGAUGAGAAUUGAGUGAAAGACCCUAAUAAAAGGCAAAAAAAAAACGCUCAUUACGUUUGAUCAUUUCCUAUUUGCUUCAUUUUUUUUUUUUACAAUUUUAACUUUUAUUAAAAACAAGAAAAAGCCCUCUCUUCAUUGCUUUUAGGGUAAAUUAACUUUAUCCCCACGUGAUUUCGUAUUUUAUCACAUAACUCCCUUGUGGUUUAAAAAUCUAUAUAUAAACCCCGCCGGGUUUGGGUUAAUAUGUUACCGUUAGUUUUGGGUUAAAGAAAUGAUUUUAAAACCUAAUAUUUUGUCCUACAAAAUCUUAAUUUUCUCAAAAUACAAAAGAGAUGGAAGGGAAAUAAUAAAUAAAUAAAUCAUGAGGAAUUAUAUAUAAGUUUUUAAACCAUAUAUAUAAGUUUUUAAACCGUAGAGGAGUUAUGUAAUAAAGCAUCAAUUACAAAGGGUAAAAGGUAAUUUACCUUUGCUUUUAAUUGUUACAAAUUUAAAUAUGGUAACAGCAAAAUAUAAGUCCUCAUACUCGCCUGCUAAUUCAAUUAUUUACGAAAAAUGUUUCUUCGUCGAUCAAAGGAUUCUUUCAUAAUGAACAAGUACAAUAACCGGAAAAGAAAAUGCAACAAGCUGUUUACUUUUCGCUUUGCUUGCUUUUUAAUGAUUUAAUAUGUUUUGAAAAUUCUUAAUUGUGUCUGUAUAGCAGCAAGUUUCAUUCACGAUCUUCAAGUUGAUAGUAACAUAAUGCUUGGAAUAUGAGUUCUUGAUUGUGACGACAUUCUAAACACAAGUAUUAGAGAGCAGUCAUAAUAAAUUUUUUUCUGGUUAAUAGAAAUAGUCAUUCGCUACAACCGUUUCAUCUUAAUCAAUAAAAAGAAAAGUUAAAAGAAAAAAGUGGUGAUUCCUUUUUUUUUUUUUUUAAAUUGCAAUUGACUAGACGUCCCUGGUUAUACAGUAUUAAGGGUUUGAUUAAAAAUAGGUAUGCGCGCAUUCACAUAAUAAGUUAGGUAUAAUUUAGAUAUUUUAACGAGUGUCCUAUUAAUCGAAAAGAUCUUGGUUUAAUAGUUAAGAUUGAAACUUCAAAAUUCAGAAAAUUAGGUCUCAAUCCUCCCUUUUUAACUUUCCACUUCUUAGAUUUUCCUAGUAGGAAAAAGGAAAAAAGAAAAAAGAGUAUUAAAAGGGUAGACUAUUUUGGGGAACGUUACUUUCAAGAGGAAAAAUAUAUUAAAGUAGACAAGUAACAAGGACAAUGGCAAAACUUAAGAAAGCGAAGAUUUGAAGGCAUACGCGUUGCUGACGGCUUUCUAAGCAAGAGAGAAUGUCAAGUCUUCCAGCUCACGAGCACUUGACCUCAAGUAUUAAUGGUGUGGCUCAAAAAAAAAAAAAAAAAUCAAACGAAAAAAAUGAAAAGUUUGGUCCCUAUGAUUUGAACGUGAUGCAAUUUAGAGUUAACAAGUUAAUUUGCGACAUCAAUUGCUAUUUAUGUUAGAGUACCCAAAUCAAUUUUUUGCCUUCUUGUCAAUUUUGACGUGUAAAACAAUUUUGAAUCUUCCAAAUGUGGUGGAAUAUAAGAGGCCAAAUCUGUCAAAAUUGAUUCGUAAAAGCCAAGAAAAUCAACCAAUUGUUAUAGUAUAUAGGUACAAUAAAUCACAAGGAAACCAAUAGGGUGAAGUUAUCACUUAUCAAUGCCUACCCCAGUGGAUAUUUAUAAAUAGCAAAGCCAAUUCAUAUGGAGUGUUUGCUACGAAAUGUCCAAGUAAAUCAAUGACCAAGUGCAGAAAAGGAUAGGAUUGUUGACAAAAUGUUGUUUAAUCCAUUUGAUUAGUAUACGUAAAUCACCUCUUAUUGGUACACUUGUGCAUAUCAUUGUCAACAAAUUUCUUUAGCCUUGCACUAUAAAUAAAGCCAACAACUCUGGCAAAGAACUCGUACAAGAGUUGAUUUGAGCUUAAUACAAGCAGUAUUAUCCAUUAAUAUAUUCUUCUGUUCUUCAAACAUCUCUGUGAAGAUGUCUUCCUGUGGAGGAAACUGCGGGUAAAGUUCUUAUAUUUACUUUUCUUUUCUUUUUUUUUUUUCUGUUCAAAGUUCUUAUAUUUACUUUUACAUGUAUAACUGUGUUUUAUUGUUUAGCAAAAUAAAUUUUUUUUGAGCAUAGAUAUGUAUAGUUAAUAAUCUAGUGUUUCCUCAUAUCCUUUGGCCACUUACAGGGAAAAUAGUAUUGAGGAGUAUGCAAAUGAAAAAAAUUCAAAAUUUGAUCUGAUUUUUCUGAUUGUUUAGAUUUCGAAAAUCCCAUUUGACAAAUCUGUUAAAUUAGCCCUUGAUUGAUGGUAUUUGUCAGAAUAUGGUCAUGUCUGUAUGGUUAUGCUAUAAUCUUGAAUUUGGUCAUUGCUCUUAUACUUUUGUGUUUCUAUUUAUUGAAUAUUUGAACUGAAUUUUCUCUUUGAAUUUUGUUUCUGCCGGCAGAAACAUGUAUCCUGAUGUGGAAAAGGUCACAACUGUGACCAUCAUCGAGGGAGUUGCACCAAAGAACACGUACGUUUGAGUUCAUAUCUUGUUUUCAUAUUUAUUUAUUUAUAUGUCGAGAUCCAAAAUAUUACUCAACCCAAGAAAAAGUUUUAUAUCGGUAAUCUGCCAUUGAUGCAGAUACUCUGAUGAAUCUGCUGAGAAAAGCUCUGGUGCUGAAGGAGGUCAUGGCUGCAAGUGUGGUGCAAACUGCAAAUGUGACCCUUGUACCUGUUGAAGACAUAAUAUAUAGUUAGUUUAAGUCCCCCAAAGCAGCUGUUCUGAUCUUGUCAUCAAGAAAACUCUUUGGGGGGGAAAAAGAAGUGCUUUUGAUGUGGUCUGUGCUUGUAAUAUAUAAUAAGAUGGUCAUGGCUUCUGCAAAUCUAUGUCCUAGAUUUGUCAGAUAAAUCAUGGCCAUGCACUC